UACUACAAAGCUAGCCAAAAAAUAAAUUUAUUAAAUACCCAUUAUUAAUUAAUAUACACAACUAUAAUCAUUAUCUUAAAACAUUUUAUCUCUCUCAGUAUAGGUGAUAGAACAGAAAACCAUUGAGCAAUAGAAAUAGUACCGCAAGGGAAAGCUGAAAAAGAAAUGAAAUAAACCAUUAAAGUAAAAAGAAGCAGAGACUCGUCCUCGUACCUUUUGCAUCAUGAUUUAGCAAGAAUAACUAGGCAAAAAGCCUUUCAGCCUAUUUUCCCGAAACUAAACGAGCUACUUCGGAGCAGCACAUUAGAGCCAACCCACCUCUGUGGCAAAAGAGAGGGAAGACUCCCAAGUAGCGGUGAUAGACCUACCGAGUUUAGUGAUAGCUGGUUAUCCAAAAAAAGAACUUAAAUUCUGCAUUAAUUUUUUCAACCGGGUAAUAAAAAAAUUUUUAACUAAACCUCAUUGUAAAAAUUAAUAGUUAUUCAAAAAAGGUACAGCUUUUUUGAACCAAGAAACAACUUUAUUAGGAGGGUAAUGAUUAUAUUACUAAAGGGUUACUACUCAGUGGGCCUAAAAGCAGCCACCUGUAAAGCAAGCGUCAUAGCUCAAACCCCGUAAUUACACCAACAAAUCCAUAUAUUCAUUCAAAACCCCCUAUUUACCUAUUGGAUUAUUUUAUUAACCCUUAUAAAAGAAAUUAUGCUAAAAUGAGUAAUAGGGGGACAAUCCCCUCCCACAACACCAGUGUAAGUCAGAAAGAAUUAAAUCACUGACAAUUAACCGAUGCCACAUUUGAGGCUCUCAUGCUAUAAAAGUAUACAACAAGAAAACCCCAUCCCUAAGCCAUCGUUAACCCUACACAGGAGUGUUUCCAGGAAAGAUUAAAAGAAAAUAAAGGAACUCGGCAAACACAAACUCCGCCUGUUUACCAAAAACAUCGCCUCUUGCUCUUACUCAUGUAUAAGAGGUCCAGCCUGCCCUGUGAUUUUUUUAACGGCCGCGGUAUCUUGACCGUGCGAAGGUAGCGUAAUCACUUGUCUUUUAAUUGAAGACCCGUAUGAAAGGCAUCACGAGAGUUUAUCUGUCUCUAUUUUCUAAUCAAUGAAAUUGAUCCUCUCGUGCAGAAGCGAGAAUAAAAACAUAAGACGAGAAGACCCUAUGGAGCUUUAAACACCUAAGUUAUUUUUAAAAAUUAGCUUUUUCCCUUUGGGCAUAAACAAUAAAUUAUUAAUUUUUUAACUUAACUUGUUUUUGGUUGGGGCGACCAAGGGGUAAAACAAAACCCCCUUAUCGAAUGUGUGAAAUAUCACUUAAAAAUUAGAGUCACAUCUCUAAUUAAUAGAAAAUCUAACGAACAAUGACCCAGGAAAAUUUCUAUCCUGAUCAAUGAACCAAGUUACCCUAGGGAUAACAGCGCAAUCCUUUCUUAGAGUCCCCAUCGCCGAAAGGGUUUACGACCUCGAUGUUGGAUCAGGACAUCCUAAUGGUGCAGCCGCUAUUAAGGGUUCGUUUGUUCAACGAUUAAUAGUCCUACGUGAUCUGAGUUCAGACCGGAGUAAUCCAGGUCAGUUUCUAUCUAUGAUGGAAUUUUUCCUAGUACGAAAGGACCGGAAAAAUGAAGCCCAUGCCUAAAGGCACGCUUCCACUCAACCUGUUGAAACCAACUCAAACAGGUAAAGAAGGCCAUCUCCUAACCAAAAAUAAUGGUUC
RNAcentral lists this ribosomal RNA (1710 nucleotides) under Mobula tarapacana (Chilean devil ray). RNAcentral's name for it is "16S ribosomal RNA". It matches the Rfam family "Bacterial large subunit ribosomal RNA". Lineage: Eukaryota; Metazoa; Chordata; Chondrichthyes; Myliobatiformes; Myliobatidae. The record is from RNAcentral.